RNAcentral lists this ribosomal RNA (311 nucleotides) under Gageus micropterus. Its description in RNAcentral is "eukaryotic LSU rRNA". It matches the Rfam family "Eukaryotic large subunit ribosomal RNA", at positions 653 to 980 of the family's 3401-position model. Lineage: Eukaryota; Metazoa; Arthropoda; Insecta; Hemiptera; Reduviidae. The record is from RNAcentral.
CUUGAAACACGGACCAAGGAGAAUAUCUCUUAAGGGAAGAUGGAAAUAGCACAUACAUUAUAUGUUUGUGAAGAUUUCCCGCACUCCCAGGGCGCUUGUAUCUCGCUUUGCGAAUCGAUGCGCACCUAGAGCGUACACGAUGAUACCCGAAAGAUGGUGAACUAUGCCUGGCCAGGACGAAGCCAGGGGAAACCCUGGUGGAGGUCCGCAGCGAUUCUGACGUGCAAAUCGAUCGUCGGAGCUGGGUAUAGGGGCGAAAGACCAAUCGAACCAUCUAGUAGCUGGUUCCCUCUGAAGUUUCCCUCAGGAUA